GGUUAAGUUAACAAGGGCGCAUGGUGAAUGCCUUGGCACUAGGAGCCGAUGAAGGACGGGACUAACACCGAUAUGCUUCGGGGAGCUGUACGUAAGCUAUGAUCCGGAGAUUUCCGAAUGGGGCAACCCAGCAGUUUUAAUCAACUGUUACCACUAGAUGAAUUCAUAGUCUAGUUGGAGGUAAACGCUGUGAACUGAAACAUCUCAUUAGCAGCAGGAAUAUAAAGAAAUUUCGAUUCCCUAAGUAGCGGCGAGCGAACGGGGAACAGCCCAAACCAAAGUGCUUGCACUUUGGGGUUGUAGGACUGAACAUUUGAGUUACCAAAGAACUUGAUAGUCGAAGGAUUUGGGAAAAUCCGCCAUAGAUGGUGAUAGCCCAGUAGAUUAAAUCAAAUUCUCUCAGUUCAGGAUCCUGAGUACGGCGGAACACGUGAAAUUCCGUCGGAAUCCGGGAGGACCAUCUCCCAAGGCUAAAUACUACCUAGUGACCGAUAGUGAACCAGUACCGUGAGGGAAAGGUGAAAAGCACCCCGGGAGGGGAGUGAAAUAGUUCCUGAAACCAUGUGCCUACAAUAAGUCAGAGCGCGUUAAUGCGUGAUGGCGUGCCUUUUGUAGAAUGAACCGGCGAGUUAUGAUCCCGUGCAAGGUUAAGACUAAAAAGUCGGAGCCGUAGCGAAAGCGAGUCUGAAAUGGGCGUUUUGAGUACGAGGUUAUAGACCCGAAACCAGGUGACCUAUCCAUGUCCAGGUUGAAGGUGCGGUAAAACGCACUGGAGGACCGAACCCGUGUAAGUUGAAAAUUGCUGGGAUGAGGUGUGGAUAGCGGUGAAAUUCCAAACGAACUUGGAGAUAGCUGGUUCUCUCCGAAAUAGCUUUAGGGCUAGCCUCGGAAUUAGGAUCAUGGAGGUAGAGCACUAUUUGGACUAGGGGCCCGUCUUGGGUUACUGAAUUCAGAUAAACUCCGAAUGCCAUUGAUUCAUAUCCGGGAGUCAGACGAUGAGUGAUAAGAUCCACCGUCGAAAGGGGAACAGCCCAGACCAUCAGUUAAGGUCCCUAAAUGUAUGCUAAGUGGAAAAGGAUGUGGAGUUGCAUAGACAACUAGGAUGUUGGCUCAGAAGCAGCCACCAUUUAAAGAGUGCGUAAUAGCUCACUAGUCGAGUGAUCCUGCGCCGAAAAUGUACCGGGGCUAAGCAUACUACCGAAACCAUGGAUGCGACCAUUAGGUCGCGUGAUAGGAGAGCGUUCUAAGGGCAGUGAAGCAAGAUCGUGAGGACUUGUGGAGCGCUUAGAAGUGAGAAUGCCGGUAUGAGUAGCGAAAGAUAGGUGAGAAUCCUAUCCACCGAAUGACUAAGGUUUCCUGGGGAAGGCUCGUCCUCCCAGGGUUAGUCGGGACCUAAGUCGAGGCCGAGAGGCGUAGACGAUGGAUAACAGGUUGAGAUUCCUGUACUAGUUAAGUGCGUUUGAGCAAUGGAGGGACGCAGGAGGCUAAGAUGUGCAUUCUGUUGGAUUAGAAUGUCCAAGCAGUAAGUCUUGUGAAGAGUCAAAUGCUUUUCACUUUAAGGACAAGCUGUGAUGGGGAGCGAAAUUUAGUAGCGAAGCGUCUGAUGUCACACUGCCGAGAAAAGCUUCUAGUGAGUACUUAACUACCCGUACCGCAAACCGACACAGGUAGUCGAGGAGAGAAUCCUAAGGUGAGCGAGUGAACUCUCGUUAAGGAACUCGGCAAAAUGACCCCGUAACUUCGGGAGAAGGGGUGCUGAUCGCAAGAUCAGCCGCAGUGAAUAGGCCCAGGCGACUGUUUAUCAAAAACACAGGUCUCUGCAAAAUCGUAAGAUGACGUAUAGGGGCUGACGCCUGCCCGGUGCUGGAAGGUUAAAAGGAUGGGUUAGCUUCGGCGAAGCUCAGAAUUGAAGCCCCAGUAAACGGCGGCCGUAACUAUAACGGUCCUAAGGUAGCGAAAUUCCUUGUCGGGUAAGUUCCGACCCGCACGAAAGGCGUAACGAUCUGGGCACUGUCUCAACGAGAGACUCGGUGAAAUUAUAUUGUCCGUGAAGAUGCGGACUACCCGCGACAGGACGGAAAGACCCCAUGGAGCUUUACUGUAGCUUGAUAUUGAGUGUUUGUACAGCUUGUACAGGAUAGGUAGGAGCCAUAGAAACCGGAACGCUAGUUUCGGUGGAGGCGUUGGUGGGAUACUACCCUCGCUGUAUGACCACUCUAACCCGCACCACUAAUCGUGGUGGGAGACAGUGUCAGGUGGGCAGUUUGACUGGGGCGGUCGCCUCCUAAAAAGUAACGGAGGCGCCCAAAGGUUCCCUCAGAAUGGUUGGAAAUCAUUCGCAGAGUGUAAAGGCACAAGGGAGCUUGACUGCGAGACAGACAGGUCGAGCAGGGACGAAAGUCGGGCUUAGUGAUCCGGUGGUACCGUAUGGAAGGGCCAUCGCUCAACGGAUAAAAGCUACCCUGGGGAUAACAGGCUUAUCUCCCCCAAGAGUCCACAUCGACGGGGAGGUUUGGCACCUCGAUGUCGGCUCAUCGCAUCCUGGGGCUGUAGUCGGUCCCAAGGGUUGGGCUGUUCGCCCAUUAAAGCGGUACGCGAGCUGGGUUCAGAACGUCGUGAGACAGUUCGGUCCCUAUCCGUCGCGGGCGUAGGAAAUUUGAGAGGACCUGUCCUUAGUACGAGAGGACCGGGAUGGACAUACCUCUGGUGUACCAGUUGUGCCGCCAGGCGCAUCGCUGGGUAGCUACGUAUGGAUGUGAUAAACGCUGAAAGCAUCUAAGUGUGAAACACACCUCGAGAUGAGAUUUCCCAUUCCUUUAUGGAAGUAAGACCCCUGAAAGAUGAUCAGGUAGAUAGGUUAGAAGUGGCAGUGCGGUGACGCAUGAAGCGGACUAAUACUAAUCGGUCGAGGACUUAACCAA
RNAcentral lists this ribosomal RNA (2921 nucleotides) under Lactiplantibacillus plantarum. Its description in RNAcentral is "23S ribosomal RNA". It matches the Rfam family "Bacterial large subunit ribosomal RNA". Lineage: Bacteria; Bacillati; Bacillota; Bacilli; Lactobacillales; Lactobacillaceae. The record is from RNAcentral.